CUCUCUCCCCCCGCCUUAAAUGAUCUCUAUGGUUCAGCAGGACACACAGGAGGCGGCAGCGGCGGCGAGGGACAGAGCCACGGCAGCAGCGGGGGCCGCGGCCGCUCGGCGCCCUUUUGUCUGCGGCCUAAGAAAGGAGUCUAGCCUUGGCCACUGAGGUGCAUGGGGUUCGAGCCCCGUCGCUGGGAUAUUGUUUCUUUCGCAGAGCUGGAUGAAAAACCACUAGUUUCACACUGUUUGGAGGGCACUUGAAUUUUGGCUGAAGAGCAAGCGUCUGCAUUUCUUCUAAUGCUUAGACCUUAUUCACAUGGCACCCUUGAAAGAGGUGGAUUUUCUGUUUUAUGAAGAUGGAGAUCAGUGACUGUCUUGUAUUUUCUGUGUUCUGAAUGUGUAAAUGUUGUAUGUGUGAUCUUAACUGCUCUUGCUUGCAUAGUAUGAAAUCCUGCAUAUUUAUCUAACAAAAGCCAAAAUAUGUAGCUAUCAGUUUCCUUACCUUGAUAAGGUAGUCUUUUUACAGUAUAGUUGAUUGUACUGCUUGGUGCUAACAAUUUAUAGGUGAGCUUCUGAGAUAUUUUUUUCCUGUGUAUUUUGAUUUACUUUUUGUGAGAUGCAAACCUAUGAAACUGCUACUGUGAAUUAAUCAUAUUGCUGAUAUAUUUGUAGCGAUGGCAAAGGAUAUCAUUUUGAUACAAAUUUUAGUGCGCUGACCAUUUAUUACUAUGGCAUAAACUUGGAAUAUAUUAAAACAUUUACAAUAAAUGUGCAUAACUGUCUCUUUUUUUUUUUAAAUGAGAGUUAGUUUUACAGUCCUUGUAAGACCUAAAUACAAGCAGGUUAUGGUUACUCUUCUGAGUUUAUAAUGAAAAUCAAAGCUCUAGCAAAGCACUUAAGUUGUUGAUUUAGUAGUGCUUGUAAUUCAUGGGUAUAAUGCAUUUCUAUUACUGGGAAGAGUUGGGCAAACUUACAAAUAUUUCAGUUACUUUGUCUCUUUUUUCUUUUCUUAAUGUCUGAACUAAUUAUUUGUUUAGAACCCAUGUAAAGAUUGCUCUUUCAUCUCUGCUGAAUAUAAAGUGUCUGGCAGAAUAUAGGAGUCAUCACAGUGAACAAGUUUAAUAAUACUUCAUUUGUAAACUGCAAUGCAUUAUCUAAUAACUUGAGCUCUGUCAUAAACUUCACCUUUUAAAAAGUGAAUAUUCUCAUGGUCACUAAUAAACUAACAUGUUUAUGGUUAAUACAAGUA
Molecule: long non-coding RNA, 1240 nt
Organism: Dromaius novaehollandiae (emu)
Lineage: Eukaryota; Metazoa; Chordata; Aves; Casuariiformes; Dromaiidae
Exons: 2
Source: RefSeq, a predicted model, not a curated record